AGGCCUGUGGUGUAGCGGAAGCACGGCGAGCUCCAACCUCGCUGGUCCGGGUUCGACCCCUGGCAGGCCUG
RNAcentral lists this transfer RNA (71 nucleotides) under Actinomycetota bacterium. Its description in RNAcentral is "Actinobacteria bacterium tRNA-Trp". It matches the Rfam family "tRNA". Rfam says of the family: Transfer RNA (tRNA) molecules are approximately 80 nucleotides in length. Their secondary structure includes four short double-helical elements and three loops (D, anti-codon, and T loops). Lineage: Bacteria; Bacillati; Actinomycetota. The record is from RNAcentral.